Molecule: unclassified non-coding RNA, 225 nt
Filed under: Hevea brasiliensis (rubber tree)
Lineage: Eukaryota; Viridiplantae; Streptophyta; Magnoliopsida; Malpighiales; Euphorbiaceae
Source: RNAcentral
GGCGUGUUCAUUUUGGCAUUCAGUCGGCCGGACAGCCGAUAAUCUCACUGCUUAAUCGCUAAAUCGGAUCGGAAUUCUUCCGUAUGAUGCUUUUGCAUUUAUUGUGAAUCUGAUUUAGCAGUGAGCUACCUAAAAUGGUGAUCGUUGUAGCUGCAUUGGUUCUCAGUGUUUUAUUGGGAGCUCUAAUUUUAAUCCCACGUAACCGGACUGUACAAAAAGUCCAAC